This 242-nucleotide unclassified non-coding RNA is filed under the name uncultured fungus. RNAcentral describes it as "partial contains 5.8S ribosomal RNA, internal transcribed spacer 2, and large subunit ribosomal RNA". The record is from RNAcentral. Lineage: Eukaryota; Fungi.
AACGCACAUUGCGCCCGCUAGUAUUCUGGCGGGCAUGCCUGUUCGAGCGUCAUUUCAACCCUCAAGCACUGCUUGGCGUUGGGGUCUUAUAGCGGUUAUAAGCCCUAAAAGUUAGUGGCGGGCUCGCUAGUGUUCCGAGCGUAGUAGUAUAUUUCGUUCUGGAGGCCUGGCGGGUUCUUGCCGUUAAACCACCUAUAAUAAAGGUUGACCUCGGAUCAGGUAGGAAUACCCGCUGAACUUAA